RNAcentral lists this microRNA precursor (71 nucleotides) under Echinops telfairi (small Madagascar hedgehog). RNAcentral describes it as "miRNA (ENSETEG00000024103.1)". The record is from RNAcentral. Lineage: Eukaryota; Metazoa; Chordata; Mammalia; Afrosoricida; Tenrecidae.
AGUGAGCAUGUGGGUGGGUGGCAGGCAGGAAGCUUGCCAGCCUUCCAUAUUCCUCUCAAGGCCAGAGAAGC